AUCCAGCAGACAAGUCCCAAAUAGGACAAAACAUGCGUUGUGGAU
RNAcentral lists this non-coding RNA (45 nucleotides) under Schistosoma curassoni. Lineage: Eukaryota; Metazoa; Platyhelminthes; Trematoda; Strigeidida; Schistosomatidae. The record is from RNAcentral.